GUUCCCCUUCGUCUAGAGGCCUAGGACACCGCCCUUUCACGGCGGUAACAGGGGUUCGAAUCCCCUAGGGGACGCCA
RNAcentral lists this transfer RNA (77 nucleotides) under Aeromonas salmonicida. RNAcentral's name for it is "tRNA-Glu". It matches the Rfam family "tRNA". Rfam says of the family: Transfer RNA (tRNA) molecules are approximately 80 nucleotides in length. Their secondary structure includes four short double-helical elements and three loops (D, anti-codon, and T loops). The record is from RNAcentral. Lineage: Bacteria; Pseudomonadati; Pseudomonadota; Gammaproteobacteria; Aeromonadales; Aeromonadaceae.